UACGUAGGUGGCAAGCGUUAUCCGGAUUUACUGGGUGUGAAGGGCGUGUAGGCGGGAGUGCAAGUCAGAUGUGAAAACUAUGGGCUCAACCCAUAGCCUGCAUUUGAAACUGUACUUCUUGAGUGCUGGAGAGGCAAUCGGAAUUCCGUGUGUAGCGGUGAAAUGCGUAGAUAUACGGAGGAACACCAGUGGCGAAGGCGGAUUGCUGGACAGUAACUGACGCUGAGGCGCGAAAGCGUGGGGAGCAAACAGG
This 253-nucleotide ribosomal RNA is filed under the name uncultured bacterium. RNAcentral describes it as "partial 16S ribosomal RNA". It matches the Rfam family "Bacterial small subunit ribosomal RNA", at positions 524 to 776 of the family's 1533-position model. The record is from RNAcentral.